CCUACGGGAGACAGCAGUGAGGAAUAUUGGUCAAUGGGCGAGAGCCUGAACCAGCCAAGUCGCGUGAAGGAUGACGGCCCUACGGGUUGUAAACUUCUUUUGUCAGGGAGCAAUUGAGUCCACGUGUGGGCUUCGCGAGAGUACCUGAAGAAAAAGCAUCGGCUAACUCCGUGCCAGCAGCCGCGGUAAUACGGAGGAUGCAAGCGUUAUCCGGAUUUAUUGGGUUUAAAGGGAGCGUAGAUGGGUUGUUAAGUCAGUUGUGAAAGUUUGCGGCUCAACCGUAAAAUUGCAAUUAAUACUGGCAGUCUUGAGUACAGUUGAGGUAGGCGGAAUGCGUGGUGUAGCGGUGAAAUGCUUAGAGAUCACGAAGAACUCCGAUUGCGAAGGCAGCUUACUAAACUGCCACUGACAUUGAUGCUCGAAAGUGUGGGUAGCAAACAGGAUUAGAUACCCGAGUAGUC
RNAcentral lists this ribosomal RNA (461 nucleotides) under uncultured bacterium. RNAcentral describes it as "partial 16S ribosomal RNA". It matches the Rfam family "Bacterial small subunit ribosomal RNA", at positions 338 to 795 of the family's 1533-position model. The record is from RNAcentral.